This 462-nucleotide ribosomal RNA is filed under the name uncultured bacterium. RNAcentral describes it as "partial 16S ribosomal RNA". It matches the Rfam family "Bacterial small subunit ribosomal RNA", at positions 29 to 523 of the family's 1533-position model. The record is from RNAcentral.
AACGAACGCUGGCGGCACGCCUAACACAUGCAAGUCGAACGAAGCAUAAGAGCUUGCUCUUAUGACUGAGUGGCGCACGGGUGAGUAACACGUGGGAAUCUGCCUAUUGGUGGGGAAUAACUUUUGGAAACGAAAGCUAAUACCGCAUAAGCCCUAAGGGGGAAAGAUUUAUCGCCAAUAGAUGAGCCCGCGCUAGAUUAGCUAGUUGGUGAGGUAAGAGCUCACCAAGGCUACGAUCUAUAGCUGGUCUGAGAGGAUGGUCAGCCACGCUGGGACUGAGACACGGCCCAGACUCCUACGGGAGGCAGCAGUGGGGGAUAUUGGACAAUGGGGGAAACCCUGAUCCAGCGAUGCCGCGUGAGUGAAGAAGGCCUUCGGGUUGUAAAGCUCUUUCAGAGGGGAUGAUAAUGACGGUACCCUCAGAAGAAGCACCGGCUAGCUUCGUGCCAGCCGCCGCCGUAA